GAAUUAUCUUUCACGACUACUACGCAGUUUUGUAACGAUAUCCUUUAUAAAGCAUUUUUGUAAGUAUGCAAUGAUGAAAGUAUUAUGUAUUAAUACUACAGGCUUUCGUUGACACUGUAGAAUUCAAGACACCGACUUGUUUUUUCUUUGUAAAGAUCGGUGGGCGAUCCUUCGGUAUAUGUACCGGAAGUGGCUUUGUUUACAUUUCUGAAUAUAACAGAAACCCUUUUCUCCCAACCCUAACUCCUCAUAUAUAUAUAAAAAAAAAAAACACUAUAUUAUAACUGUACUAAGGUAGCAUAACAAUUUGCUCUGUAAAUUGGGGCUAGAAUGAAUGGUUUGACGAAAAUUUAGCUGCCUCUAUACACUUUCUUGAAAUGUAUCAGGUGCUUCCGGUACCUAUUCCGAAGUUACGCCUUUCGGUAUUUUGCCCACAGUCAACUAAAAUGAAAGCUUUUUUUAGGUUGGAAGAAAGGCGUUAGUGUUAAUUCUAUUCUCCUAUUCUAAAUUGCUUUAAUCAGUAUCGUAAAAAUAUAUCCAAGACAGAAGUAAAUUAAUAUUCCAUUAAUGAAUAUUAUUAGAAUAAACUUGGUGGUUUGUCUUGUUAUUUGUUUAAAUAUUUCCAGUCUUUCAUCUCAAACCAUGUAUAGAACUAUUGAAUUAAUAUCGACUUCUGACCAGCAACAUAAAACAUAUUUUGGCCAGUUUACAUGCUAAAGGGUUAAAUUGGGGACCCACAGUAAAUUAAGGGUCCAUGAAAAAAUUUUGCUCCAGAUGUAUUUAUUGCAAGAAACAACUGGAUUCCUUUCUCUAAUGUUUUACAGGAGUUCCACCCUACACAAGUUAACGUGUAAAAACGAAAUAGGGAUUUAGGAAGAAGUGUCUAUAAAAGCUAGUUUUUAACCCUUUAGUGUUCACAUUAUUCUGCCAAAAUUAAUCCUUUUUCAUCCACUUUGUUUUGAACUAAUCAUGCAUUAUCUUGUAGUUAUGAGAUUUUGGUGAGGUAGCUGUUAAUUUUUAAAACGACAUUGUAGGGUUGGUGUAAGAGACCAGAUCUGGCCAGUUUGAACAUAAAACAGGCAGAUUACUUUUGGCGGGAUAUGGCCGGUUUAAAUGCUAAAGGGUUAAACAUAGAAUGGCGAUGAGGGUCCAUGAGAAGCAAAUUGUAAUCAAAUGGGUCCAUAGGUAAAAAAGGGUUGAGAAUCGGUGAUUUAGACGAAGGUUUGUAUCUAUAGUCUAUCAUUAUAGAAGUGUUGUAAAAUUUCUACUGUGUCUUCUAAAGCUUAUACUCUUCUUCUGUUAUUUCAGAAUACCAGAUGGUGUUGAAAUUAAAGAACAGUUUUGGUUACCUUGGAUACGUCAUCAAUAUUUAUUGUUUUCUAAAACACAAGGAAGAUGUUAUACAGAAGGGAUUAACCAUGUUUAUAUAAAUCUAUGUUACAGUGCCCGUGAAAUAUUUCCUAUGAAAUUAUUAACAAAACUUCUCUGCUUCACUGUCUUGCAAGACGAGGUGGUUUUCCGUUCAAUUAAACUGGUAUUAUAUUAUGGGAGCAUCCUGAAUACCCCUCGUGUGAUUGAAGGUGGACUAACCCAUUACAAUGAAUAAGAACUGAGUGAGCUGUCAAGGCGUAGUUGAGGGGUGUCAGUCCAACUGUUUUGGUUAAACAGUCAGUAGUUGAACAGUGAAUACUGUGAAACAUAUUUCUCUACUACCCACAAGGGGACAAACAAGGACAGACACAUGGAUUAAGUCGAUUACAUCGACCCCAGUGCGUAAUUGGUACUUAAUUUAUCGACCCCGAAAGGGAUGAAAAGCAAAGUCAACCUGGGCGGAAUUUGAACUCAAAAUGUAAUGACAGACGAAAUACCUAUUUCUUUACUACCCACAAG
This 1890-nucleotide long non-coding RNA is filed under the name Octopus vulgaris (common octopus). Lineage: Eukaryota; Metazoa; Mollusca; Cephalopoda; Octopoda; Octopodidae. The record is from RNAcentral.